GAGGAUGGAGGAGGGGAGCAGCGAGGCCGCCGUCCGGGACGGCGGCGCCCUGUCCGCCCCGUCGGUCGGGACGGAGGCGGUGGCCAGGAAGACGGUGAAGAUGUCCGAGACCCGCGACUUCAUCCCCUGCGCCGACGCCAGCGAGGGUACGCCCGUGCGUCCGGAUCUAGGUCGCGCUGUUCCCGGGGGGAUUAACCAAUAUCUCACCGGCUGAUUCUUUCGCCUCUUCAGGGGAUUCUUCCAGAUCCUCGGGGUCUUCGGCGGCGGCGGCGGACGUCGCCAGCUGCACGGGCUCGUCGGAGGCCGCCCUGCCGGACGACGACGCGGACGCGGACGCGGAGAUGCACCANN
RNAcentral lists this long non-coding RNA (351 nucleotides) under Hordeum vulgare. Its description in RNAcentral is "long non-coding RNA (HVUL_LNC021447)". Lineage: Eukaryota; Viridiplantae; Streptophyta; Magnoliopsida; Poales; Poaceae. The record is from RNAcentral.